Molecule: ribosomal RNA, 253 nt
Filed under: uncultured bacterium
Lineage: Bacteria
Description: partial 16S ribosomal RNA
Rfam family: Bacterial small subunit ribosomal RNA
Source: RNAcentral
UACAGAGGGGGCAAGCGUUGUUCGGAAUUACUGGGCGUAAAGCGUGCGCAGGCGGCGCCGCAAGUCAGGCGUGAAAUCCCCGAGCUUAACUUGGGAAUGGCGCUUGAAACUACGGUGCUGGAGUGUGGGAGAGGUGAGUGGAAUUCCUGGUGUAGCGGUGAAAUGCGUAGAUAUCAGGAGGAACACCUGUGGCGAAAGCGGCUCACUGGACCACAACUGACGCUGAGGCGCGAAAGCUAGGGGAGCAAACAGG